Molecule: long non-coding RNA, 2035 nt
Filed under: Daucus carota (carrot)
Lineage: Eukaryota; Viridiplantae; Streptophyta; Magnoliopsida; Apiales; Apiaceae
Description: long non-coding RNA (DCAR_LNC002989)
Source: RNAcentral
AGUUACCAAUGACAGCAGAUGUUGACUUUGAUGCCCUUGCACGUAUGACUGAAGGAUUCAGUGGAGCCGAUCUCCAAGCUCUACUCUCAGAUGCGCAACUUGCAGCAGUCCAUGAAGUUCUAAAUUGUGAAGACAACAGCAAACCUGCAAAAGUUCCAGUCAUUACUGAUGCUCUUUUAAAAUCUGUCGCUUCUAAAGCAAGACCCUCGGUUUCAGAAGCCGAGAAGAGACGAUUGUACUCUAUAUAUAGCCAGUUUAUGGAUUCAAAAAGAUCUGCUGCUGCACAGGUCUCUCACGCUAUCUAUGCAUCUUUGUUCAAUUAAUAUAUUAGUUUAAAAUAUUGGCAUUGUUAAAGUUAGAAUGCUUGUUUGCAGUCCAAAGAUGUGAAGGGCAAAAGGGCAACUCUGGCAUGAGGAACAAGAAGCACCCAGUACAAAGAUUAGAAUAGGCGAACGGAAAAUGGUGUGCGAAUGUCAAGAGCUGUCAUUGCAUGUCCAUUCAAAGGAUUGUAUAUUGAUGUUCUGUAUUAAUGUGUACUAUAUAGUUUUGUGCACAUUUUAUUAUUGGUCGGUUCUGCAUGAAAUGGAAAGGGUUGUACUUGUACAUCAAAGUAGUGGUUAGAUCAUCUCAUAUAAUAAUUUCUGGAAGUCUUGUAAUUCACAAGCUACAAGUGAAUAAGUGCUUUGCUCUUUGUUUCUUCAGUAACUUCUUAGUAGUAUCUUUUUUAGCAGCCAUGCUUUCAAUUCAAACAGGGACGAUCCUAAUUUUUUCCAAGUUUUUUGGCAUUAAAAAAAUACCUGCUAACAGGCAGAAGAUUCUAUGUAGAAGAUGGAUAAACCAACAAUAAAGCCUAGCUACUUAAACAGCAGACAUAACGAAGCAUGCCCCAAGGCGUCAUGCCAAAGUUAGAAAAGCUUUCUUACCCACUGCAUAUUUUAUCAAUAUAAUAAAUAAAAGAUGGAAAUAAAAUUAUUAAAGUUAUAUCAUAUUAUAAAUUAAAAAUCUUAAAUAAACCAUAUAAAUUAUAAUUACGUAAAAUUAUAGUAAUAUAUACGUUUGAUUAAUGAUUGCACAUAUCUCCAAAUUUUAUAUGAAUUAUCGUUAUCCAAAUUUUAUAUAAACCAUCGUUAUCCAUCACGUAUUAAUAAGAAAACAAUAUAAUCUAAGGUAGAAAACUCAGGAAAAUACCCAUGAAUAUUGAUUGAUUUGAGUCUAUUCAUCAACAAUCUUAUCUUUUACUUUUCUAAUUUGUAAAUAAAACUAAAAGAUAAUAGCUAAAUAUUUAACAUUAAACAAUUAAAUUUAUUCGCUCACGUGUCACGUGUAUAAGGUUUGAUCUCUUUAUGAAAAUACCCGAAUCGCAAAUAUUCAAAUAAGGCAGGAAGAAACUGAACUAUUAAAUAAACAAAAUAUCUGACAUCGUAAGUAAAAUAUUUGAUGUUUUUUUCCAACUAAUCCAGAGAACGAGCAAGAUGUUUUCGGCAUUUAUAGAUUUAUACGAUGAAGAUAAAAGACAAUUAAAGAUAAUAUAAACUCGACAUUUUAGAGCAGACAACAUAAAAAUCGGACGAACCAGAUUUGUGUAUGCAGAGGUCGGGUCCAGAGAUUAUUAGGUAAAGAAACGUCACACUAUAUACAAGUNCAUGCGACUGGAAAAAAAAAAAACUCAAAAUAAUUUAUUGCUUCAUCCUUGCUAUGGUUGAAGUCUUCAAAAUUUUUGACCUACUUAGCUUCUUGAACUUUUGUGCAGUUACCAAUGACAGCAGAUGUUGACUUUGAUGCCCUUGCACGUAUGACUGAAGGAUUCAGUGGAGCCGAUCUCCAAGCUCUACUCUCAGAUGCGCAACUUGCAGCAGUCCAUGAAGUUCUAAAUUGUGAAGACAACAGCAAACCUGCAAAAGUUCCAGUCAUUACUGAUGCUCUUUUAAAAUCUGUCGCUUCUAAAGCAAGACCCUCGGUUUCAGAAGCCGAGAAGAGACGAUUGUACUCUAUAUAUAGCCAGUUUAUGGAUUCAAAAAGAUCUGCUGCUGCACAG